GAUGAAGAACGUAGCGAAAUGCGAUACGUAAUGUGAAUUGCAGAAUUCAGUGAAUCAUCGAGUCUUUGAACGCACAUUGCGCCCCCUGGUAUUCCGGGGGGCAUGCCUGUCCGAGCGUCAUUGCUGCCCUCAAGCACGGCUUGUGUGUUGGGCCUCCGUCCUCCUCCCGGGGGACGGGCCCGAAAGGCAGCGGCGGCACCGCGUCCGGUCCUCGAGCGUAUGGCUUCGUCACCCGCUCUUGUAGGCCCGGCCGGCGCUUGCCGACACAUCAAUCUUUUUUCCAGGUUGACCUCGGAUCAGGUAGGGAUACCCGCUGAACUUAAGCAUAUCAAUAAGCGGAGGA
RNAcentral lists this unclassified non-coding RNA (343 nucleotides) under soil metagenome. RNAcentral describes it as "partial contains 5.8S ribosomal RNA, internal transcribed spacer 2, and large subunit ribosomal RNA". The stretch from base 1 to 120 matches the Rfam family "5.8S ribosomal RNA", at positions 35 to 154 of the family's 154-position model. The record is from RNAcentral.